Strigops habroptila (Kakapo) is the source of this 2012-nucleotide long non-coding RNA. NCBI's taxonomy places the organism in Eukaryota, Metazoa, Chordata, Aves, Psittaciformes, Psittacidae. The record is from Ensembl.
UCCAAGGUCCCUUUUGUACAGUGGAAAGAGGCAGCACCUCCAGAAGGUGAUUCAGAUUGAUGCGGCUGCAUGGGAGAUGAGGGUGGGAAUGCUGGUAAGUUAGGAGCCUCAAUUAGAUGACACAGAUCCUGGCCUAAAAUCUUCUGUACUUGAGACUCCUUUAUUUACUUUGAUGACUCUUUCUGACAAGCAUAAGGAAGUAAAAGUGGCACAAUUCAGUGCUGUCCUUAACUCUGCCCCCAAAGAAAUUGUAUUUCUCAGCAGUAAUCCUGACUUGUAAAUGAUGCUCUCAAGGGUGGAUUCACCUGAAGGAGGAGGCAGUGAGGUGCCUGUGGCCCCAUCAUCAGCACCAUCUGGUUCUGCGCUUGAUGUUGAGGUUGUGGGACACAGCUGCACAGCCCUCCCUUCCUCUGCAUCCUUACUCAGAUCACACCUAAAUCUGGCCCUGGGUCCCAGACAUAAUACUUUUAGGUGUGCAGGUUAGUAAUUAACCUUGAGCACAGAUCCAGAGUUUGAUGAUUUUACCUCUAACUUCUUGCAUAUACGCUUUUCAGAAUAAACUACACAGAAUUGUUGUUUCUAGGAAAAAUGCUAAGUGCUUCCCAAGAAAUUGCCACAUCCAGUUGAAUAAGCACUGUCCUCCCAGCCUCAGCCCAUUUCCUCCUGGAACGGGUUGGUUUGUCCCGCUCCCUCUUCAUGCUGGCAAGUCAUGUCUCUCCCCUCCCUUGUUCUCAGAGCAGCCGUGGCAGCAACUUCCUCCAUGCCCAAAGGACAGCAGGACAAGCACUGUGUGGGUCUGCUAAAGGGACUGGUUACCUCAGACUGGCCACUGCCCCCUCUGCGGGCCCUCUUAUGCAGGGGGAACUAGGCCUGAACUCCCAUAUCUGAGAAGCAUGGGCUGCUCUCCCUUUCUUUGCUUCCCUGUGGCAAAGCUCAGAAGAUUGCCAGGGAGUAGUGAAGACUCCUGUUAAGCAACAGCAGGAUCUUAUGUGAGAUGUGUAAUUAGGUGGGUGAUAUACGCAGCUAAGUUUCAGGAGAGUGCUCAUCUAGUACUGCAUUUAGGCUAAGCCUCGGUCUCUGCCUGGAGAACAUGUUCCACCUUACUUCGUCAUGGCUGACCAACAGCUGAAGAGCUUGUACAUGCCAUAAAUAGCUCUUGGCCUUUGAUCUCAAGGGAUCUUGUGGUAGGAUUAAAAAGAUUGUAUGUUCAAUGAAAAGGCUUAUGUACAUAGUUAAUGUGUUUAUUUUAUUCCUGAUCUUGUUGCACUUUCUGAGUAAGCCUCAUAAAAGUAGAUUAUUUAUUAUAUUAAAGGAGAUACAUUACAGGUUAUGGCAUCACGUGUUAAAGUAUAACAUAGAAAAUAUUACACUCUAUUGCAGAUAGCUACACUAAACAAUGUGUAUACAACAUAUUGAGAUUACUGGCUAGUUCUGUCUUUUUGUGUUACAAUAGUACAAACCUCCUGAAUUGAAAGCAGACCUAUUUUGUAUCUGUGACACUGGGGAGGUCCAACCUCUCUGUGUGCUUAUAGCACAGUUCCUCCUGCUGUGGCAUUGAACCUCCUCCCCAGGCUCUAGCAGAACAGCUCCCUUGUGUAAAUGAAUGUUACUCUGCCUGUCUUUCCUCUUACUUUGUCUGCAGGCGAGGUGAUACCGAUGGCUCCUCCCGUCCAGACAGUCCUCCACUCUUGCUUGAUAUAUGAUUUGUUCCGUCUUGACGGCCAUUUACUUUACUGCCUGUCUCUUUACUUUUCCAGGACGGUGUAAACAGUGACUGCUUUUUGUAAGAAGCAAAUGCUUAAUUUCUUUCUGAAUUUUGCUCUGUCUGUUAAUGCCCUAUUUCACAUGAGCCAAAGCAUCCACCUUUGGUUUCAUAAUCUGUAAAUGGUUCCUGGUGUUGACCUUUGAGCACAAGUCGAUUCCUGAAACCAUGGUCAUUAUUGACCAUCACAUACACCUGCUGUAAAAAUGUUAAGCUGCAUUUCUGAACCUGAAAUAAACUGUAACUCUUG